GGCAGUGCUUGGGUGUCGGGGCUCUGAGGCUCCGGCCUGACCUCUUCACGGGGUCGACGGGAUCGUCUCCGGAUGCCAGGAGUCCCAAAGGGCCGACCAGGAUGAGGAAACCCCAGGCGGAGUCCGGGGGAAGCAGCACGGCAUCCCAGCCUCAGGCCUGCCCGGACGGUGAUGGUUGGGGUAAGAUUGGGGAAGAUGCCAGGUGAUAGAAUCCACCCUGCCUCUGACAGCAUCCAAUCUGGAGCAAAGGCUUCUUUCAACCUUCCCCCAAGCUCCCAAUACAAGCCCAAAUUCUGGAACAAGUCCUUUCCAACACCUCCUUCAGAGAAGCUCCCUGGCUCCAGGCAGUGCUUGCUCCCCUCACUGCAGCAGGAAGCCUAACUUGCGAACUGCAGGUGUGCUCCAGGUGGUCACUGGAUGCAAGAAAUGGUGCGAGAACUUUGGAUGUGGAACGUGGAGGAGGAGGAACACGAAGUGGGGAUCUGCACUUGGGGUGGUCAGCACUGCGGAUGCCCAGCAAAGUCACUGCCUGGUCCACAUCCCGGAGGGGUCUCUGCGCCUCAGUCGGCAUCGCAGCUGAUGGUGAAACUUUUGGUGUGGCAGAAGAGUGUCCACAAACUUCGGAAGGGCCGCGGCGGCAAGGUCCUUGCUCCCAUGGCGUGACUCCAGGGUGCAGGAGCCUGGGCUGAGCAGGUGGAGUAGGGUGAGCUCCGCCAAGAACCCAGCGAGAGUGGCGCCCCAGGGCGGCACAGGAGGCCGCAUUUAACAUGUCAAUCAUCUGAAAGAUUUUAUGGCAUCUUUUUUUUGACAUCUUAUAAUAUCUAUAAUGUUUAUUAUAUCUUGUGAUAUAAUUAUUAACACCA
Molecule: long non-coding RNA, 863 nt
Organism: Homo sapiens (human)
Lineage: Eukaryota; Metazoa; Chordata; Mammalia; Primates; Hominidae
Gene: FAM182B
Product: family with sequence similarity 182 member B
Source: Ensembl